CAAUGGGCGAAAGCCUGACGGAGCAAUACCGCGUGAGGGAGGAAGGCUCUUGGGUUGUAAACCUCUUUUCUCAGGGAAGAAAACAAUGACGGUACCUGAGGAAUAAGCAUCGGCUAACUCCGUGCCAGCAGCCGCGGUAAUACGGAGGAUGCAAGCGUUAUCCGGAAUGAUUGGGCGUAAAGCGUCCGCAGGUGGCAAUGUAAGUCUGCUGUUAAAGAGUCUAGCUCAACUAGAUAAAGGCAGUGGAAACUACAUAGCUAGAGUGCGUUCGGGGUAGAGGGAAUUCCUGGUGUAGCGGUGAAAUGCGUAGAUAUCAGGAAGAACACCGGUGGCGAAGGCGCUCUACUAGGCCGCAACUGACACUGAGGGACGAAAGCUAGGGGAGCGAAUGGGAUUAGAUACCCCAGUAGUCCUAGCCGUAAACGAUGGAUACUAGGCGUGGCUUGUAUCGACCCGAGCCGUGCCGGAGCUAACGCGUUAAGUAUCCCGCCUGGGGAGUACGCACGCAAGUGUGAAACUCAAAGGAAUUGACGGGGGCCCGCACAAGCGGUGGAGUAUGUGGUUUAAUUCGAUGCAACGCGAAGAACCUUACCAAGGCUUGACAUGUCGCGAAUUUCGGUGAAAGCUGAAAGUGCCUUAGGGAGCGCGAACACAGGUGGUGCAUGGCUGUCGUCAGCUCGUGUCGUGAGAUGUUGGGUUAAGUCCCGCAACGAGCGCAACCCUCGUUUCUAGUUGCCAGCAAUAAGAUGGGAACUCUAGAGAGACUGCCGGUGACAAACCGGAGGAAGGUGGGGAUGACGUCAAGUCAGCAUGCCCCUUACGCCUUGGGCUACACACGUACUACAAUGCUACGGACAAAGGGCAGCUACACAGCGAUGUGAUGCAAAUCUCAUAAACCGUAGCUCAGUUCAGAUCGAAGGCUGCAACUCGCCUUCGUGAAGGAGGAAUCGCUAGUAAUUGCAGGUCAGCAUACUGCAGUGAAUUCGUUCCCG
RNAcentral lists this ribosomal RNA (992 nucleotides) under Anabaena sp. Sorg 1. RNAcentral describes it as "bacterial SSU rRNA". It matches the Rfam family "Bacterial small subunit ribosomal RNA", at positions 369 to 1376 of the family's 1533-position model. The record is from RNAcentral. Lineage: Bacteria; Bacillati; Cyanobacteriota; Cyanophyceae; Nostocales; Nostocaceae.